This 2645-nucleotide long non-coding RNA is filed under the name Homo sapiens (human). RNAcentral's name for it is "HSALNT0310882". The record is from RNAcentral. Lineage: Eukaryota; Metazoa; Chordata; Mammalia; Primates; Hominidae.
AGCACUUCCUCCCCUCCGUUGUCUCUGUUAAGAUGAGAUGGUCUCUAAGAUCAUGUCAGAUUUUAGAACAGGAAGGGAUCACAAGAAUACGUCAAUGACAAGCCUCCAGGGGCCGAAGACAUACUAAAGAUCAUGAAUAUCAAGUCACCAAUAAGGCCAGUUGAUAUGUAAAGCUUUUAAGUGACUUUUCCAUUGUCACCCUGCAGGUUAGUCUUAAUGUCCUCUAUUAACUUUUUCUAUUUUAUCCUUCAUAGGCUGGAAAUUAUUAAAUUUGAAAGAAUAAUUGAUAUUUUUGCCUUGUGUUUUGUUCUUUUGAAAAGAAUUUAAUGAAGUCUGUUCCUAUCUUAAGCUCAUUUCCCCAGGAGAGUCAAAUCUUAUAAUAAAACCUACUUUCGUUUUUAAACAAAAAAAACCAAAAACCCCAAAAAUAAAUCCCUAUAUCUCUGAUUGCUAGGCUUUUUAUUCCAGAAGAUUGCCUCUAAAGAAUAUCAAGACUUUUUUAAUGAGUUAUUUCUUAUUAAUCGAAAAAUAAUUAAGACUUUGUUGCAAAAAUUAUUACUCUUAGUCUAUUGGUGUCCUAGCAUAGAGCUGUUUCUGUUGUAAUUCACCCAGCCCAAGAGACUUCAUAGCACUUAUUCAUGAAAUGAGAAUCCCAUUUGUUAACUGCAUGUUCAUCGUUAGAUUAAACUUAAUGGCUUAUCUUACGUACCUUUUGUAUUUUUCAGAAUUCCCAGCGCAUGCUGUACAUCUAAUAAGUAAUGCUUAAACUUUUAUAUAAGUGAAUUACUUUCUUCUUACAGCUUUCUUAGAUAUGUAUUCAUUGAAAAGUUGUGGGCUUACUUCCUAUACUCAAAUAUAUAUAUAGUCAUAUACUUGAGUUAAGGAACCCAACUCAUAUACAAAAUUUCUCAUAGGGAAGAAAGGAGUAAAUGAAUUUAUAUCAAUUGUUUUCUAAUGUAGCCUUUAAAAACCCAAUUUUAAUUUUCUCAUGUAUGAAUUGUGAGGUCCUAGCCUCAUUAUUUUUUAUUGGAAUCUUAGUGACUUUUAGUGAUUUAUAUGAAUUGCACAUACUGGUGAUUUUUACUUUUUGUCUAAAAUAUUUGUCACUUUUUUUAUUUUCUGUAUUUUUGUAUUUUGUUAUUUGCUUCUUAAUUAAUUUGACCCAGGCAAGGUACAGUGACUCAUGCCUGUAAUCCCAGCACUUUGGGAGUCUGAGGCAGGUGGAUCACCUGAGUCAGGAGUUCAAGACAAGCCUGGCCAACAUGGUGAAACCCUGUCUCUACUAAAAAAAAAAAAAAAAAAUUAGCCAGGUGUUGGGGCAGGCGCCUGUAAUGCCAGCUACUCGGAAGGCUGAGGCAGGAGAAUCACUUGAACCUGGGAGGUGGAGGUUGCAGUGAGCCAAGAUCAUGCCAUUGCACUCCAGCCUGGGCAACAAUAGCAAAACUUUGUCUCAAAAUAAUAAUAAUAAUAAUAAUAAUUAAUUAGGUCCAAAAAAGUCCAAUCCAUUGCAAUUUUCCAUUUGGUAAACUUUUCCCAUGCAAGGUUUUUUAAAUAUUCACUUUACCCCACCCAGAGAUUUUUAAAAUAUUCAUUUGUUUCCUUUUGUUUAUUUAUUUUAUGUUAUUUUAUUUUAUUUUUUUUUUGAGACAAAGUCUCACUCUGUUGCCAGGCUGGUGUGCAGUGGCGCAAUCUCAGCUCACUGCAACCUCUGACUCCCUGUUCAAGCAAUUCUCCUGCCUCAGCCUCCCAAGUAGCUGGGUUGCAGGCAUGUGCCACCACGCCCAGCUGAUUUUUGUAUUCUUAGUAGAGACAGGGUUUCACCAUGUUGGCCAGGAUAGUCUCGAUAUCCUGACCCUGUGAUCUGCUUGCCUCGGCCUCCCAAAGUGCUGGGAUUAUAGGCAUGAGCCACUGAGCCUGGCCUGUUUCCUUUUAUUUUUUAAUUCAUGUCCCUGAUAUAAGCAAAUGUCCUAGCAUAUUUUUUGUAUGCAGUAAUAUCCUCAAAUCACUGUUGAAUAAUAUUUUCGUUGUCUGUUGAUUUUCAAUGCAUACUUUAUUAUGUAUUAUACUUUUAUUUAUUCUAGGAUUUGAUUCCAGAUAAAUCAUUCUAUUUUAUGAUUUAUUUUUAAAUUAGUACCACACAGAUUUAAUUAUUUGAUAGUGUUUUUGACAAUCUGGCAGACCUUAUUAUUAUUUGCAAAGUUUUUUGAAAAGUUAAUUUGCACAUCUUUAUUAUAUCAGUUGAAUUUGAGAAUAGUGGUUCCCAAUCCCAAAGCUUUAAAUCCCCUGAAUGGCGCAUAUCAGAAAUGAAGUUACCCUCCCUCUGCAGAGAUUAAAAUGUACUCAGUUGGGGUUCACCUUAUAGAAGGAGAGACAUUGCUGAUGAAUUUAUGUGAUGCCUGUGAGCAAUGUGGAGGCAGAAAAGAGAGGCUAGGCUGCAGAGGUUUUUAAAAAAAUCAAGUGCUAAAUUAAGUUCUAUUGAGAUUUUGUUUAGGAUGGCAUUACAUUUAUCUCUCUACCUAUAUGGCUUAUUUUACAUCUCAGUAAUUUUGUAUUUUUUUUCCCAUAGGGGCCCUACAUCCUUCUUACGGAGAGAUUAUACUUAAGUAUUUUAUCAUUUGGGUAAAUAACAUAUUUUAAAAUAUCAC